RNAcentral lists this ribosomal RNA (129 nucleotides) under Kytococcus sedentarius DSM 20547. The record is from RNAcentral. Lineage: Bacteria; Bacillati; Actinomycetota; Actinomycetes; Micrococcales; Kytococcaceae.
UGUUUCGGUGGUCAUAGCGAAGGGGAAACGCCCGGUUACAUUCCGAACCCGGAAGCUAAGCCCUUCAGCGCCGAUGGUACUGCACUGGGAACGGUGUGGGAGAGUAGGACACCGCCGAACUCAACGUUC